UACGAAGGGGGCUAGCGUUGUUCGGAAUCACUGGGCGUAAAGGGCGCGUAGGCGGCUUUGUAAGUCGGGGGUGAAAGCCUGUGGCUCAACCACAGAAUUGCCUUCGAUACUGCAUGGCUUGAGACCGGAAGAGGUAAGUGGAACUGCGAGUGUAGAGGUGAAAUUCGUAGAUAUUCGCAAGAACACCAGUGGCGAAGGCGGCUUACUGGUCCGGUUCUGACGCUGAGGCGCGAAAGCGUGGGGAGCAAACAGGAUUAGAAACCCGCGUAGUCC
RNAcentral lists this ribosomal RNA (273 nucleotides) under uncultured bacterium. RNAcentral's name for it is "partial 16S ribosomal RNA". It matches the Rfam family "Bacterial small subunit ribosomal RNA", at positions 524 to 796 of the family's 1533-position model. The record is from RNAcentral.